AUUGAACGCUGGCGGCAGGCUUAACACAUGCAAGUCGAGCGGGGUGAUGGUGCUUGCACUAUCACUUAGCGGCGGACGGGUGAGUAAUGCUUAGGAAUCUGCCUAUUAGUGGGGGACAACAUCUCGAAAGGGAUGCUAAUACCGCAUACGUCCUACGGGAGAAAGCAGGGGAUCACUUGUGACCUUGCGCUACUAGAUGAGCCUAAGUCGGAUUAGCUAGUUGGUGGGGGAAAGGCCUACCAAGGCGACGAUCUGUAGCGGGUCUGAGAGGAUGAGCCGCCACACUGGGACUGAGACACGGCCCAGACUCCUACGGGAGGCAGCAGUGGGGAAUAUUGGACAAUGGGGGGAACCCUGAUCCGGCAUGCCGCGUGUGUGAAGAAGGCCUUAUGGUUGUAAAGCACUUUAAGCGAGGAGGAGGCUCUUUUGGUUAAUACCCAAGAUGAGUGGACGUUACUCGCAGAAUAAGCACCGGCUAACUCUGUGCCAGCCGCCGCAGUAA
Molecule: ribosomal RNA, 502 nt
Filed under: uncultured bacterium
Lineage: Bacteria
Description: partial 16S ribosomal RNA
Rfam family: Bacterial small subunit ribosomal RNA
Source: RNAcentral